AUGGCAGGCACUCCGGACGUGAACCUGGACGGCAGCCUGAUCACCGGCUGCACACCCUUCGGCUCGCGCACGACGACGCUGUCCCUGCACAAUGAGGAGGAGACGGCCAUCGCCGCGGGGAAUGGCGAUGGCAACGAGCCCAGCGGCCGGUACAUUCUCGUGGCGGGGCGCGCCGACGAGAAGGACGGCCUGCGCCAGACGAUCGCGGGCGGCGUCCUCAAGCCAGGGAUCACGUACCGCGUGGCCGGGUGGAUCGGCCUGGGCGCAGGCGCGGCGCGGGGGACGAGCCACCCGGUGCGCGUCAACCUUGGUGUCACUAUGGACGACGAUGACAAUGAGAGCCUGCAGGUGGAGUGCGGCGCGGUCUGCGCCGAGGCCGGCGGGUGGACGGAGAUCAUGGGCGCCUUCCGCCUCAGGACGGAGCCGCGCGGCGCUGCGCUUUACGUCCACGGCGGCCCCGCCGGCGUCGGCGUCAAGGUCAUGGAUCUCCGCGUUUUCCAGACAGACCGCGAGGCGCGCUUCCGGCAGCUCAAAGACAAGACUGACCAGGCGCGCAAGAGGGACGUGAUCCUCAAGCUGGGCGCGGCGACGGGAGCGGCGUCCGUGCGCGUCGUGCAGAUGGACAACAGUUUCCCUUUCGGGACAUGCAUCAACACGACGGUGAUCCAGAACCCGGCCUUCCUCGACUUCUUCACCAACCACUUCGACUGGGCAGUCUUCGAGAACGAGCUCAAGUGGUACCACACGGAGGCGCAACAGGGCCAGCUCAACUACGCCGACGCCGACGCGCUCCUCGCGCUCUGCGACCGCCUGCGCAAGCGCGUCCGCGGCCACUGCGUCUUCUGGUCCGUGGACGGCGACGUGCAGCAGUGGGUCAAGAACCUCGGCAAGGACGAGCUGAAGUCCGCCGUCCAGAGCCGCCUCGAAGGCCUCGUCUCCCGCUACGCCGGCAAGUUCCCGCACUACGACGUCAACAAUGAGAUGCUGCACGGCCAAUUCUUCCGGGACCGCCUCGCCGACGAGGACGUCCCGGCGUUCAUGUUCAAGGAGGUGGCGCGGCUCGACCCGGAGCCCGCGCUCUUCGUCAACGACUUCAACGUGGAAUGCGGCAACGACCCCAACGCGACGCCGGAGAAGUACGCCGAGCAGGUCGCGUGGCUGGAGAGCUGCGGCGCCGUGGUGGGCGGCAUCGGGCUGCAGGGCCACGUGCAGAACCCCGUCGGGGAGGUCAUCUGCGCCGCGCUCGACAGGCUCGCCACCACCGGCGUGCCCAUCUGGUUCACGGAGCUGGACGUGUCGGAGCCCGACGUGAGCCUCCGCGCCAAGGACUUGGAGGUGGUGCUCCGGGAGGCAUACGCGCACCCUGCGGUGGAGGGCGUCGUGCUCUGGGGGUUCAUGCAGAACACGAUGUGGCGGCAGGACGCCUGGCUCGUAGACGCCGACGGCACCGUCAACGAAGCUGGCCAGAUGUUCCUGAACCUCCAGAGGGAAUGGAAGACGGACGUGCGCGGGAACGCCGACGGCGAUGGAAACUUCAAGUUCAGGGGCUUCCACGGCAGAUACUUCGUCGAGGUCACCACGGCGACGGGGUGUCGGAUGCUCAAGACGUUCACGGUGGAGAAAGGAGACAACACGCCUCUCCUGGUGGAUUUGGGCGAUGCCUGA
RNAcentral lists this ribosomal RNA (1665 nucleotides) under Triticum aestivum (bread wheat). Its description in RNAcentral is "partial small subunit ribosomal RNA". Lineage: Eukaryota; Viridiplantae; Streptophyta; Magnoliopsida; Poales; Poaceae. The record is from RNAcentral.